RNAcentral lists this small RNA (165 nucleotides) under Paenibacillus thiaminolyticus. RNAcentral's name for it is "M-box riboswitch (ykoK leader)". It matches the Rfam family "M-box riboswitch aptamer (ykoK leader)". Rfam says of the family: M-box riboswitch, also know as ykoK leader is described as a metaloregulatory RNA that sense divalent metals and function as a genetic control element of genes related to divalent metal transport in bacteria. It was first reported upstream of the B.subtilis ykoK gene and genes with related functions in other bacteria. The record is from RNAcentral. Lineage: Bacteria; Bacillati; Bacillota; Bacilli; Caryophanales; Paenibacillaceae.
AUUCCUCGUUAGGUGAGGCUCCUAUGCAAACAUAGGCCACUGCCCAGAAAUAUCGAAAGAUGCCCAUGGGUAGAACAGGGAUUGCCGGAUUAAGGCUUUUCAUAAGGUGGCUAAGGAAACGAAUCUCGUUUGCUUUACGUUGUAUAGUGCCAAAACUCGACCAGG